UGGAAUAAUAUAGGUAAGGGAAGUUGGAAAAAUAGAUCUGUAACUUCGAGAAAAGGAUUGGCUUUGAGGGGUGGGCUAGGGGGUCCAAGUCCUGAACCCAUUGGUUGUUGGUGGACUAAUCGAGUUGCUCACAUGGUGAGAGCAGGUCACCGUGUGCCGGCUGGGGGACAGACUGGGAAUGGUUCCUUUGGGGACCUUCCCCGUGCAUCGAAUAUCCAACUCAGAACUGGUACGGACAAAGGGAAUCCUAUUGUUUAGUUAAAAGAAAGCAUUGUGAUGGUACCAAUAGAUGUUCACGCAAUGUUAUUUUUUCCCAGUGCUCUGAAUGUCAAAGUGAAGAAAUUCAAUAAAGCACGAGUAAAUGGCGGGAGUAACUAUAACUCUCUUAAGGUAGCCAAAUGCCUCGUCAUCAAUUUAGUGAUGAGCAUGAAUGGAUUAAUGAGAUUCCCACUGUCCCUGUCUACUAUCUAGCGAAACCAAAGCCAAGGGAACAAGCUUGG
RNAcentral lists this non-coding RNA (500 nucleotides) under Capsicum annuum. RNAcentral's name for it is "Eukaryotic large subunit ribosomal RNA". It matches the Rfam family "Eukaryotic large subunit ribosomal RNA", at positions 1891 to 2388 of the family's 3401-position model. The record is from Rfam by way of RNAcentral. Lineage: Eukaryota; Viridiplantae; Streptophyta; Magnoliopsida; Solanales; Solanaceae.